GAGUCAUUGGGACUUAUUUAAACCUAAAGGCGCAAUGAAAGUAAAGGUCCGCCUCGCGCGGACCUAGGGAGGAUGCGCCCGACCACGGUCGGGCACCGCACUCCCGGGGCGUCUCGUUCUCACAGCGAGAAGAGGCGCACCCAGAGCGUACACGCUGGGACCCGAAAGAUGGUGAACUAUGCCUGGUCAGGACGAAGUCAGGGGAAACCCUGAUGGAGGUCCGUAGCGAUUCUGACGUGCAAAUCGAUCGUCGGAACUGGGUAUAGGGGCGAAAGACUAAUCGAACCUUCUAGUAGCUGGUUCCCUCCGAAGUUUCCCUCAGGAUAGCUGGCGCUCGCCUUUGCGAGUCUCAUUCGGUAAAGCGAAUGAUUAGAGGCAUUGGGGUCGAAACGGCCUCAACCUAUUCUCAAACUUUAAAUGGGUGAGAUCUCCGGCUUGCUUGAACGGUGAAGCCGCGAGAGAUCAUCGGAUCACAGAGUGCCAAGUGGGCCACUUUUGGUAAGCAGAACUGGCGCUGUGGGAUGAACCAAACGCCGAGUUAAAGCGCCUAAAUCGACGCUUAUGGGAUACCAUGAAAGGCG
RNAcentral lists this ribosomal RNA (581 nucleotides) under Dendropaemon bahianum. Its description in RNAcentral is "eukaryotic LSU rRNA". It matches the Rfam family "Eukaryotic large subunit ribosomal RNA", at positions 688 to 1223 of the family's 3401-position model. The record is from RNAcentral. Lineage: Eukaryota; Metazoa; Arthropoda; Insecta; Coleoptera; Scarabaeidae.